UACGUAGGUGGCAAGCGUUGUUCGGAAUUAUUGGGCGUAAAGGGCUCGUAGGCGGUUUGUCGCGUCGGGAGUGAAAUCCACUGGCUUAACUGGUGGCUUGCUUUCGAUACGGGCAGACUGGAGGUAUGCAGGGGAGAACGGAAUUCCUGGUGUAGCGGUGAAAUGCGCAGACACCAGGAGGAACACCGGUGGCGAAGGCGGUUCUCUGGGCAUGUCCUGACGCUGAGGAGCGAAAGUGUGGGGAGCGAACAGG
This 253-nucleotide ribosomal RNA is filed under the name uncultured bacterium. RNAcentral's name for it is "partial 16S ribosomal RNA". It matches the Rfam family "Bacterial small subunit ribosomal RNA", at positions 524 to 776 of the family's 1533-position model. The record is from RNAcentral.